This 5042-nucleotide long non-coding RNA is filed under the name Homo sapiens (human). RNAcentral describes it as "LHRI_LNC1058.1". Lineage: Eukaryota; Metazoa; Chordata; Mammalia; Primates; Hominidae. The record is from RNAcentral.
GAAGUUAAGUCCUGUGUUAUUUCUCUCUGCUGUCAGCUAAGUAUCAUCUGUAAUGACGGAAGGGAAAAUGUUACAUAGAUAAUAAAAAAUGGUGGAUAAUAAAAAUAAUUGCUGCUUGGGCAUUCAUUAUGCAAUUUGGGGGGCAGCUAAUUUAUCUUCCUAAUUAUAUUUUGCUUAAGCUGAUUUUAAAAUUAGUUUGUUUACCCUGAGCACGCACUGAUUAACAGCAGAGAGAGGUGGCCCAGAAACAUCUUGGGUGGUAGAGGGAAGAUAUUUUGAGAUUCAGGGGAAUUUCUGUGGAUAAUGUUCAUGUAGCUAUGGGAAGGUAGAAGGCUGAUAGGUUGUUGGUGCUCUGAGUGUAAUUAACUAUUGUGAUUUGUUGUUGGGAGAAUUUAAAUAUAAGGCCCUAGAUUGCAGACUCAGAGAGGGGAAUGAACCCCAAGCUCCUUCUUGUUUAUUCUUCAGUGCUGAGGAGAGUUCAGACUGUCAAUGUAGGUAGAUUGAAAAAGGAGAUGGAGAAGGAGAGCUAGCUGGAGGUGACCCCAGGAAUUUCCUUUCAAUCGAUACCCAAGGACGAUUAAGUGCCUAUUACGUACUGCUGUCUAUUACAUACUGUGAAUUAUGCCCAGAGCUGAGGAUGCCAAGAUGAAUAAGGCCAUUGUCUUACCCUGUGGAACUCCACAAUCUAGUAAGGAACAGGCUUAUAAACAGAGAGAUCACAGCCCAGUAGAAUCAGUGUUAUCAAGAAAACAGGAUCACAGUGAGAGCAGAGAAGAGAGAAGAGAGGGUGGCUAUCACCAUAGGGGAGGCAGGAAAGGAAGGAGCUCCACCCCUCACUCUUCCUCUGUUCACCCACUUUCUGGGUAGUUGGGGGAGGCAGGAAUGGGGUGGGGAGGUAAGGGAUGGGGUGUAGAAACCCCUUCAGGUUCAGUGUCAGCUGGCUGCUGGCUGUUUCAGCCAGUGGGAGGUGCUGGGACAGGCUGGAGGAUGGGAGAAGAGGAAAGUCAGGGUAGCUCUCCCCUUUCUCUGCCUGGAGUGGCAUCUUCAAAAUCUUAAAAGCAUAUGGUCUCUCCCAUGAGUCCAUUUCCCACUAGACAGGUCCACUGGGGUCCAGCUUCAGCAGGGUGAUCAUGGCUUCUGAGCUCUGGUGACUUUCUUUAAUCGCCCCUCCAGCCUCUGGGUGGUAACAGUUUUUUACUGGUGCUAAAAAACUGUCUCACUGUCUCCUGGUUGGUGACUCCAUGUUUUCAUCCUCUGGAAAAUCAAUCCCAUGCAUUAAAUUCACUCUAUUUAAAUAUAGUGGGUGGCUCUGAUGGGUAUGAAAGGCUUCCCAGGGUAACUCAUACUUGAACUGUUUUUUAAAGAAUAAAAAGAUAUUUGCUAGGUUGAGACACAGGAAGACUGUGUCUGAAACAUACUUGGAGGUGUGAAACACCGGAGUGUGGGGACCCAGAAGGGACAGACAUCCCAGCAGGUGAGAGCCACUAAAACAUUAGAAAGGAAAUACAUUGUUCAGGUAUUUUAGAAAACUCAUUUGGCCAGCUCUGCUCUGUAUAGAUUAGCAAAGAAAACAUGAGGGUGGCUGUGAAGACUAGUUAAGAGACAAUCACAACGAUUCAGGCUAUAAGUCAUGAGGCGAACUAUAUAUGCACAUAGAGGCGUGAUGGAUAAAUGUGGAUAGAGGACACACUCUAGCUAUUAUUCUCUUAACUAUAUCCAAGGAGAAAAUAUCUUAUUUUCCUGGCAUACAAUAGGUGCUUAAUAAAUGCUUGCUGAAUGAAUUAGUAAUAUUCUACUAGCUUAAUUUGUGUUAUGAAACCUCAGUUCCCCACAUGUCUUUCCCUUAACCAAAACUCUGACCUGUCCCAUGGAGUCUGUUGCCUAAGGUCACCAGGUUUCUGCCUCCCUGUUUAGGACAGCAUGGGGUCCUCCCACGGGUGCUCUGGCUUCCCAGCCCUGCUCUAGAGCAUCCCUCUCUCUAGUUACUGACUGCCCCUCCUCCAUCAGAGCCAUUCAAUCAGACGGUAUUUACAGACACUUACAUACUAAUAGCUGGCACUGUGUGGGACACUUGCCACUCAUUUAUCUCGAUCCUUGCAACCACCCAGUGAAGGGGCUACCUUUAUCCUCAUUUUAGAGACAAAGAAGACAGAUAGAGGCAGAUAACUUGUCCUGGGUCAUGCAGCUAGUAAGUGGCAGAGCUGGAACUCAUACCCAGGUGUAUGACUCUCAAGCCCAGGUUCUGAGCCACUAGGCUAGAUUGCCUGGUACUGGGUGCUGUAUGUAGCUGGAGAUAUAAAGAAAUGGAAGACAACGUGUGGGGAGAGAAAGUGUGAAUGCACAAAGAAUUAACUCUGAUGCUAAAAAUAUGUAGUGAUUCAAGUCAACAAAUGAAAAGCUGCCACAAAGCAGAAUGUCGACUGCCAGUAUAAAUAGGGAUAAGGGGAAAGAGAGAUCAUCCUAGGCUGGGGUAAUCAAGGGAGGCUUAAGGAAGUAGGUAGUAUUUAACCUGUGGCUUUCCUGCUAGUUAAGGAGACAUGCUGAAUUCUUCUAAAACAAUGCAAGAGCAACUGGGAGGUCACUAGCAGGCCAGUGCAAAUUGCAGCAGGAAAUUAAAGAAGGGAGAGAUUUGUAUAAACUGGAGAAGGACAUCUGGUUGAUUCUGGAGCUCUGAGUGCCUGUGGAUGGAGCCUGGGUGGGUGGCCUGUGGGUGGAAUACCUUCUACCAACUUUGCACAACCACCUGUAGCCGACUCUUUUCACACAUGCACGUUCCUAGGUUGAAAUAGGCUCCUUCCAGGACUCCAGGUUUUCCUCUGGGUGUGGCCUGUCCUCAGUCUUUCUUCUCACACAUCACCUGUGAUCCCGCGGCAGGGAAGACAGAUCCCACUACACCUGAGAAAGAGGGACCAUCUCUUCCAGUUCUUGGGGAUAAUAGAAUGACAAGCAACACAUGAGACUCAACAUCAAGUGUACUUACUUGAUGGUAUACUCCUUAGGUAACACAGGGAAAUGGCCCGGUGACUCCAGGAGGGAGUCAGGGAGCCUGAGCAUGCAGGUGAGAGAAUGCCUCCUUGCCCUCUGUGGUAACAUCUCUAUCUUUUAAGCAUAUCCAUCAUUCCUUCCCUUGUGGGGACUCCUGCCCUACUCUAUGUGGUCUCAAUGGGACUUGAUUGACUAUGUCGCCCUCUACCAUAGGGGCAAGGAUAUAUAACCCAGCUGGCCAAUCAGACUACUCCAUCCUCCUGGCCAUAGCGAUUGAGCCAAGCCUGGUGAAUAGGUAGUGUGAUGGUUAAUACUGAGUGUCAACUUAAUUGGAUUGAAGGAUACAAGUAUUGAUUCUGGGUGUGUCUGUGAGGGUGUUGCCAAAAGAGAUUAUAAUUUGAGUCGGUGGGCUGCGGGAGGCAGAUCCACCCUUAAUCUGGUGGGCACAAUCUAAUCAGCUGCCAGCAGAUAUAAAGCAGGCAGAAAAAACGUGAAAAGGAGAGACAGGCCUAGUUUUCCAGCCUACAUCUUUCUCCUGUGCUGGAUGCUUCCUGCCUUUGAACCUUAGACUCCAAGUUCUUCAGUUUUGGGACUCGGACUGGCUCUCCCUACUCAUUAGCUUACAGACAACCUACUGUGGGACCUUGUGAUCAUGUAAGUUAAUAUGUAAUCAACUCCCGUUCAUAUAUGUAUUUGGGUUGGGGAUUGGUGCGUUUGCAUAUAUCAUAUUAGUUCUGUCCCUCUAGGAGAACCUUGAUUACUACAGGUAGCCCCUGCUCUCCAGCAGUGCUAGUCUUGAGCUGCAGGAGAGCACCACUUAACAAUGGCAGGGCCCCAUGUGAGCCCACACUGGCUAAUGUGCUGCAGUUGUUCAGGAUUUAGCCUGGAGCCUGCCUAGGAUAUGAAGGGUUGGUCUCCUCUGGUCUUUUGAAGGGUGCAUAUCCAGAGACUCUCAGUUGAUUCUUGGUUGCUUUGGAGAUUUGGGGUCUUUCAGUGCUAGACUGGUUUACCCUGAUUAAGAUUAAAUUUUACUUCCCAGGACAGAAGCACAUAAUGGUUACAUUUAAAGUUAAGGUUAUAUUUUGCUUUCUGGAACACAGACACAUAACAGAGGCAUAAACCUAUGGAUCUUUGCACCAGAGGUGAUUUGAAGAGGGAAUGCAGGCAUGCCCACCCCUAGCCCCUUCAUCUAGGCAUCCUGUUAAAGCAAAAGGAGUUUGCAUAUAUACUGACAAGUUUUCUUCCAAGAAUAUUGUACCAAUUUACAUUCCUACUAAAGAGCUGAAAGUGCCUUUUUCUCUCUGCCUUCCCAAAGCACCAAGCCCAGGUGUUUAAGUUUAAAAAAAUAAUCAAUUUUAUAAAUAAUAAAUUAUAGUAAUCUCUCAGCAUGCAUUGGGGAUUGGUUCCAGGAUGCCCGCUAUACCAAAAUCUGCACGUACUCGAGUCCCACAGUCGACCCUGCAGAAUCCACAGACAGGAAAAUUUGGCUGUUAGGUUUCGCAUCCCAUGAAUACUGUAUUUUCAAUCUAUGGUUGGAAAAAAUCCACGUGUAAGUGGAACUGCACAGUCCAAACCCAUGCUGUUCAAGGGUUAACUGUAGAUUGUCGUAUACUAAUUUGUAUUUCCUUGAUUUCUAAAGAGUUGGAGUCUUUUUCAUAUUUAUUGUCUGUUUAUAUGUCUUCUUUUAUGAAUUACUCCUUUGGGUGUUUUACAAUUAUUUAACGGUAUGUAUAUCUUUUUCUUUUUGAUUUAGUUUAGUUUAGUUUUGAGACAGUGUCUUGCUCUGUUGCCCAGGCUGUGUGCAGUGGUGUGAUUAUGGCUCACUGCAGCCUCAACCUCCUAGGCUCAAGUGAUCCUCCCACCUCAGCCUCCCAAGUAGCUGGAACUACAGAAGUGGGCCACCAUGCCUGGAUAUUUUUCUUAUUUUUUAAUAGAGACUGGGGUCUCCCUAUGUUGCCCAGGCUGGUCUCAAACUUCUAGUCUCAAGUGAUCCUAUCACCUCAGCCUCCCAAAGUGCUAGGAUUACAGGCAUGAGCCACCAUGCCUGGCCUUUUAUU